Molecule: ribosomal RNA, 253 nt
Filed under: uncultured bacterium
Lineage: Bacteria
Description: partial 16S ribosomal RNA
Rfam family: Bacterial small subunit ribosomal RNA
Source: RNAcentral
UACAGAGGUCUCAAGCGUUGUUCGGAUUCAUUGGGCGUAAAGGGUGCGUAGGUGGCGCGGUAAGUCGGGGGUGAAAUUUCGGAGCUUAACUCCGAAACUGCAUUCGAUACUGCCGUGCUUGAGGACUGGAGAGGAGACUGGAAUUUACGGUGUAGCGGUGAAAUGCGUAGAUAUCGUAAGGAAGACCAGUGGCGAAGGCGGGUCUCUGGACAGUUCCUGACGCUGAAGCACGAAGGCCAGGGGAGCAAACGGG